RNAcentral lists this non-coding RNA (100 nucleotides) under Oryza sativa (Asian cultivated rice). Lineage: Eukaryota; Viridiplantae; Streptophyta; Magnoliopsida; Poales; Poaceae. The record is from RNAcentral.
UUUCUCUUCUCUUCUCUCCCGAUUCUCUCGAGUGGCGUGGCGGCAGAGGGGAGAGAGGUAGCCAGCGAUGGAGGGGGUGGUGGGAGAGGGGGAGAGAGCC